This 89-nucleotide small RNA is filed under the name Arabidopsis thaliana (thale cress). Its description in RNAcentral is "ATSL199010". Lineage: Eukaryota; Viridiplantae; Streptophyta; Magnoliopsida; Brassicales; Brassicaceae. The record is from RNAcentral.
UUGUAUUUCAUUGUUAGAAAAUACAAAGCCAAAGACUCAUACUGCCUUCAGCUUCAUCAUCAAUGCUUUGAGAAGCAUGAAGUAGCUUG